Molecule: ribosomal RNA, 822 nt
Filed under: uncultured bacterium
Lineage: Bacteria
Description: bacterial SSU rRNA
Rfam family: Bacterial small subunit ribosomal RNA
Source: RNAcentral
UAGAGUUUGAUCAUGGCUCAGGAUGAACGCUAGCGACAGGCUUAACACAUGCAAGUCGAGGGGCAGCGGGGAGGUAGCAAUACUUCCGCCGGCGACCGGCGCACGGGUGAGUAGCACGUAUGGAACCUGCCCGUAGCAGGGGGAUAAGCGGAAGAAAUUCCGUCUAAUACCGCGUAAUAACUCCGAGAGGCAUCUCAUGGGGUUUAAAGGGUGACACCGGCUACGGAUGGCCAUGCGGCGCAUUAGCUAGUUGGCGGGGUAACGGCCCACCAAGGCGACGAUGCGUAGGGGUUCUGAGAGGAAGGUCCCCCACACUGGUACUGAGACACGGACCAGACUCCUACGGGAGGCAGCAGUGAGGAAUAUUGGUCAAUGGGCGCGAGCCUGAACCAGCCAAGUCGCGUGAGGGAAGACGGUCCUAUGGAUUGUAAACCUCUUUUGUCGGGGAGCAAAAGACGCCACGUGUGGCGUUCCGAGAGUACCCGAAGAAAAAGCAUCGGCUAACUCCGUGCCAGCAGCCGCGGUAAUACGGAGGAUGCGAGCGUUAUCCGGAUUUAUUGGGUUUAAAGGGUGCGCAGGCGGAAGAUCAAGUCAGCGGUAAAAUUGAGAGGCUCAACCUCUUCGAGCCGUUGAAACUGGUUUUCUUGAGUGAGCGAGAAGUAUGCGGAAUGCGUGGUGUAGCGGUGAAAUGCAUAGAUAUCACGCAGAACUCCGAUUGCGAAGGCAGCAUACCGGCGCUCAACUGACGCUCAUGCACGAAAGUGUGGGUAUCGAACAGGAUUAGAUACCCUGGUAGUCCACGCAGUAAACGAUGAAUACUAA